CAGAUUCCCUCCCCCCUUACAUCAGGUGCCCCCUUCAGAUUCCCUCCCCCCUUACACUCAUUGCAGUCCCUUGUUACAUCAGGUGCCCCCUUCAGAUUCCCUCCCCCCUUACACUCAUUGCAGUCCCUUGUUACAUCAGGUGCCCCCUUCAGAUUCCCUCCCCCCUUACACUCAUUGCAGUCCCUUGUUACAUCAGGUACACCCUUCACAGUCCCCCUGUUACAUCAGGUGCACCCAGGUGUCCCUCUGCGCAUCAAAACUGAAAACAACGCAGCUCCUCCUUCCUCCCUCCAGUCUUCACUCCCCUUCGGUGCUUCGCUGACACUGAACUGUGCCGGUUCUCUACCGCCUCCUGCAGGCGGGAGGAAGAAGAACACCCAAUUCUCUUUCCAGCUAUCUUAGAGAGCCACAGUCUGGUCUGAAUAAUAUGUCCGGUUUACAGGUGGACUGAAACCUGGACACAAGAUUCAAAGCCCGGACUGUCAGGGUAAAUCCCAGACAGGUGACAACCCUAGUGCUGGUGGAGUGAGAAAGAUUAAGACUUUAUGCAGAGUCACAUACCAUUUUGCUAUCAUCCCCAGCAUUUCGCUAAAGAAGUAACAAUGAUAAGCAGGGGGGACUGGAUGUCUUGGCCUUACACCACUCCUGGAUUAGUUGCUGCGAUUGGUAGCCAGCUAGAAAAGGUGUGCAUUUCAGAGCUCCUCUGCCCCCAACUCCUCAAGCACCGGCUGCAUGGCUUGGAGUGGUGAAAAUCCCUAUAACACGAUUUUCACUGGCGGUGUGCAAAAUGUCACUUUACCAAUCAGCAGCAACAUACAUUUCUCUUUCGUUCAUAGACGGACACAGCCUUCUUUGACAUUAGGGUUAUGCUUCUUCCUACCAGG
Molecule: long non-coding RNA, 884 nt
Organism: Rana temporaria (common frog)
Lineage: Eukaryota; Metazoa; Chordata; Amphibia; Anura; Ranidae
Exons: 3
Source: RefSeq, a predicted model, not a curated record